GCGAGUGAAGAGGGACGAGCUCAAAUUUUAAAUCUGUUAGGUUUACCUAACCGAGUUGUAAUUUGAAGAGGCGUUUUCUGUGUUUCUGAUCAGCCCAAGUCCUUUGGGAUAGGGCAUCAUGGAGGGUGAUAAUCCCGUCCGGCUGAUCAUUGCGUUUUACGAUACGCUUUCUAAGAGUCAAGUUGUUUGGGAUUGCAGCUUAAAAUGGGAGGUAAAUUUCUCCUAAGGCUAAAUAACGGCGAGAGACCGACAGCGAACAAGUACCGUGAGGGAAAGAUGAAAAGAACUUUGAAAAGAGAGUUAAACAGUACGUGAAAUUGUUGAAAGGGAAACGAUUGAAGCCAGUCGUACCUUCGGGUAAUCAGCCUUUCGGGUGCGAUUCUGUGGAGCGUGGGGAGUUAAACGCCUUCAUGCCUGCAUAUUCGUGCACUUUGGGUGUACUUGCCCGUGUGGUAGGUUAACAUCAAUUUCGGAUGUCAUAAAAUGGCUGGAGGAAUGUAGCUUCGGUCUCGUACUGAAGUGUUAUAGCCUUUGGUAGAUGUGAUGACCGGGAUUGAGGAUUGCAACGAAUACCUUUUGGGCUAUCCGUCUGAUCUCUGAAAGUUGCUCUGGUGCCGAAAGCUUGCUUACGGUUAUCAAAGUUGACGUUCAAAAGGUUAGAACGGGUUAAAUUCGUUAAGGAUGU
RNAcentral lists this ribosomal RNA (685 nucleotides) under Rhizophagus intraradices. RNAcentral's name for it is "partial large subunit ribosomal RNA". It matches the Rfam family "Eukaryotic large subunit ribosomal RNA", at positions 89 to 626 of the family's 3401-position model. The record is from RNAcentral. Lineage: Eukaryota; Fungi; Glomeromycota; Glomeromycetes; Glomerales; Glomeraceae.